GCCAGUGUGGUGGUGCACACCUGUAGUCCCAGAUACUCGGGAGGCUGAGGUGGGAGGAUCACCUGAGCCCAGGAGGUCUAGGCUACAGUGAGCCAUGAUCAUGCCACUGUACUCCAGCCUGGGUGACAAAGUGAGACCCUGUCUCAA
Molecule: unclassified non-coding RNA, 147 nt
Organism: Macaca fascicularis (crab-eating macaque)
Lineage: Eukaryota; Metazoa; Chordata; Mammalia; Primates; Cercopithecidae
Rfam family: Metazoan signal recognition particle RNA
About the family: The signal recognition particle (SRP) is a universally conserved ribonucleoprotein. It is involved in the co-translational targeting of proteins to membranes. The eukaryotic SRP consists of a 300-nucleotide 7S RNA and six proteins: SRPs 72, 68, 54, 19, 14, and 9.
Source: Ensembl